Brassica napus (rape) is the source of this 2759-nucleotide long non-coding RNA. RefSeq lists it as uncharacterized. The record is from RefSeq and is a predicted model, not a curated record. Lineage: Eukaryota; Viridiplantae; Streptophyta; Magnoliopsida; Brassicales; Brassicaceae. The transcript is spliced from 3 exons.
CAAUAUCUUCCCUCAAGUUGGAGAGUGUAUGUUUCGAACUUCCAACUUGACAGACAAGAAAUGCUGGAAACUCCUUCUUAGCAAGUGUCUGUCAAAAUAUCAACAAGUUGCAACUUUUUUCGAAACAUGUUUUGUUGUAACAAAACCUCUCACGGUCCUCUCAUGAAAUGAUAAUUAAUUCCAACAUGCCUCGGCCUUUCAUGAAAAAUGAGAUUAGUUUCCAUAUGAAUUGCUGAAAUGUUAUCAGACGCCAAAUGUAGUCAGUAGAUUUUUCAACCAAAUCAGCUCUUGAACUGCAUCUGGCAUUGCCUUGUAUUCUUCCUCCGUCGACGAGCGAGAGAUUGUGUCUUGUUUGAAUGUUUUUCAAGAAACCGGUGACCCACCUAGCUGAAUAAAUCAGGCCGUUAAAGAUAUCCGUAUGAUGGGACAUGCUCCUCAGUCAGCAUCACACCAGACACUGAAAGACACGGGCUGCCAUGCCUUAAGUAAUAUUCCCUAUCAUGGGUUUCAUUUCAGAUAUUGUACACACGGAUGGCUGCAUCCCAGUGAUCUUGUUUCAGAGCUUGCAUAAAUUGUGAAAGAGUAUGAAUUUCAUAUGAAGACUCAUGUCUCGUUACUCUCAAGUAGUUCAAUCUUCCAACUAAACGUCGAUAUCUAGUCGGUUCCGAAAUCGUGCACCUUCAACCAACGCAAGUUGGUGAUCCUUAUCCAUCAGAAACGAUGCAGGCUUUGCACCAAGAAGUCAUGCUUCAAUGAUAAUGUCCUGAGAAAACAUCCGUUGGUAUAAGUAGAUCCCUGAAGCAUUACGAGCUACUUCUAUAUACCUAAAAGAUACUUGAGAAGACCUAUGUCUUUCAUCUUAAAGCAUUUAAUCAAGUAGACCUUAAAGUUUGCAAUAACCUGCGGAGAACUUCCCAUUCCCAUGAUGAUUAAAUCAUCCACAUAAAUAUAAGUACAUGAAUCUGAAUAUCUUUACACUCAAAGACGAACAGUGAGUAGUCAGAUAUUGAUUACACAAAACCAUACUCUUUUAGUAUUUUUGUCAACUUGGCAAACCAGCAUCUCGAUGUUUGCUUAAGACCAUAAAGAAAUUUGUGUAAUCGACAUACUUUAUUCUUGUCCUCCACACGAAAUCUAGGUAGCAAUUUCGUAAACACCUCCUCCACAAAGUCACCAUGAAAAACUGCAUUAUGCACAUCCAUCUGAUGCACUUCCAAAUCUCUGGCAGCCACUACGUCAAGAAAGCAUCGUUGUCAAUUUUCGCAACUGGUGCAAAUGUCACUACAAGAAAUAUUGGUUUUGAUAGCAGCAAAGGAUAGCAUUUUUUUUGCCUUUCUGCUAUGGUUGACAUAUCCGUUAGUUUUAGAUAGCGUUUGUAUAUUUUGAAACGCUAUGAUAGAGUAGUAUAUUUGGAAACGUUAUGAUAGCGAAUGCUUAAUAGCAAAAUAAUUAAAACGCUAUGUUUGGUUUAUCUAAUCCCAAACCCUAAACAAGUUUUUAAACCCUAAACUCCAAGUAUAAACCUUGAAAAACUUAUAUUCUGAAAUUUAUUCUUUUUAAUUUUAAUAUAUAACUUCCAAACACACAAACCUUAAUUCCUCAAUCAAACUCUAUACCCUAAAUCCUAACAUAAAACAUAUAUAAACCAUACAUCCAAUAAACAUAAAUUUCAAAUCUAAAAUUUUCGUAAUCUAAUAAAUUUAAAAUCUAAAUCUUAAUCACAAAUCAUUAUAUAGAAACUCUAACCCUUGUAUUUUCAAAACUUGUAACCCUAAAAUCAUAAUACAAAACACUUUACACAAACUAAUUAUAAGAACCCCAUUAUGCAGUUUUUGAAAAUCAUAUAACUACAAAAAUCUAAUCAAAAUUUAUAUUUCAUAUGCUAAAUUACAAUAUCUAAUAUUUUGAUUUAGGCAAUUUAUAAAACAAUUAAAAAGAAAUCUAAAAACAAUUUUAUUGCUUCUUUUUAUGACCAUUGAUUGAUUCUAAUCUAAGGGCUGAAAUUAUUCUUUUGUCUAUCUCCAACCUUCUCUCUCAUUGGUUAAUUUUUUUCUCAAAGAUCACGGUUCUUAGCCAUUGAUGCAACGUAAUCCAAAGGCCACAAUUUAGUUUUUCUCUUUCUCACUUAUCUUCUCCUAUACGACUUUUCAUUUUUCUUUCUUCAGCAACAACAUCGACGAUGAACCCAAUGAGGGCGAAGCAACUGGUUGUUGGACCACCAUCGAAGAAGAGACGACGGCACCGGUCUGAGUUCGUCGCUGUCGUAAUCGGUCUCGAACUCGGAGGGAGCAUGGUGGUGCUUAGUAGCGAGGGUGAUUUCUGAAACGGCGGCGGAGAGAGGAGGCGUGAAGAAUUCGAGGUGGUGAUGAAGUUUUGUCAAAGCAAAGCCCUCGCAUCAUCGCAGUGCUCAUCCUCUUGUCCGGUGACGUUUUAAAACUCCCGAAGCAGAUCUGUUUAUACUCAGUUAUGAUUCCUCUUUUUUGGAAAGCCAAUGUCAAGAUUACACAGAUGGCAAAGGAAGCUAGUGGUGGUGGUGGAGGUGAAGCCGAGCAAGAAGAAGAAGAGAGAUGGAGAAAGAGAGAAGACAAAGACACAAAAGGAAGAAGAGGAUGCGGCGAGGUGGAUGGGAGAAGACAACACAUGCGGCUGAGAAGAUUAGAUUUAGGUUUAUUUUUUAAUCUGGGUUUAGGCUUCUUUUUAAUUUUAGGUUUCGUUUUUUGUAAUACAGUUUUAAUUAAUAAAUUAAUUUUAAUUAUAAA